This 77-nucleotide transfer RNA is filed under the name Oleispira antarctica. RNAcentral describes it as "tRNA-Met". It matches the Rfam family "tRNA". From Rfam's summary of the family: Transfer RNA (tRNA) molecules are approximately 80 nucleotides in length. Their secondary structure includes four short double-helical elements and three loops (D, anti-codon, and T loops). RNAcentral also lists the same sequence under 11 other names. The record is from RNAcentral. Lineage: Bacteria; Pseudomonadati; Pseudomonadota; Gammaproteobacteria; Oceanospirillales; Oceanospirillaceae.
CGCGGGGUGGAGCAGUCUGGUAGCUCGUCGGGCUCAUAACCCGAAGGUCGUUGGUUCGAAUCCGGCCCCCGCAACCA